RNAcentral lists this long non-coding RNA (1378 nucleotides) under Sinocyclocheilus anshuiensis. RNAcentral describes it as "lncRNA (ENSSANG00000010151.1)". Lineage: Eukaryota; Metazoa; Chordata; Actinopteri; Cypriniformes; Cyprinidae. The record is from RNAcentral.
GUUUGAGAUAAUUUCUUGAUAAGAGAAAUGAUGGGUACUUUUGAAAUCUUGAAAUCCCCAUUAAGCCAAAGAGAGAUAGUCUAACAUUGUUUAGUAUAAGAAGAUAAAAAAGAGGGAGGAACAAAACCUGCCAUAGAGUGGGAAAGCAACUAUAUGCUGUCAGCUCGGAGAAAAUUCCCCUGUUCAUAGUCAGAGUGUAGCCCGAGAACACUUUCUUCCUCACUUUCACAACCACUUUCUUCUUCCACACAUCUAACAACUUCCAGCACUAUUCUGAAAGGGGGGAAAGAUGUUCGUCAUUAUGCCAUUUUUAAUUAUUAUCCUGUCAUCAGACUACAGCAAAGGUGAAAUACAGCUGCGUGCUUUCAAACACCAGACAGUGAAUUGCAAUGAGAGGAUUGUCUUACAAUGCAAUAUCAGCUCAUCAACGCCAUUGAACAUUGUUAAAGUAUACUGGAAAAAAACAGAAGAGAAAGAUUUUGAAUGUGAUCCAACAUCCAGCAAUAGACCACCAGGAUUUGAGUGCAACUACACAGGAGAAGCACUGACAUUAACCAUCUCAAAUCCUACACCAGCAAACAUGGGCUCGUAUUUUUGUUGUAUAAAGACGGACUCUGGACAUGGAGCAAAAGAAAUCAAUCUAUCUGUAGGACAAUGCACCGGAGAAUUCUCCCACCAGAUGGCUGAACCCAAACAAAUGCAGUGUAGCUUUAAUGGUAUGUACCCAGAAGGCAUGAUAAACUGGUUUCAUUAUGACAAGAACCUGACUUCCAGCUCUACAGUCACAAGCCUGGUGAACUCUGAUGGAACGUUCAACAUCACAAGUGUCCUAAACAUCCAGGACGAUCAAGAGAGAUAUAAAUGCUCACUGUGGUCACUCAAACACGGACAGUACCAUAAAGAUCAAGAGUUUGAAGUCCCAGUUCAUGCUGAUUCCAGGCCCAUUAGCAGGAUCAGCACACAACAUUGUUUAUCAUGGACUCUUAUCCUUCUUAGCCUGAUGUUGUGUUUGAGAGCCUGUUUGUCUCUAUAAUCUGUACAUGCCAACUCAACCCAACUAUCACAAGACCUGAUGACAUAACCACAGAUCUGGUGGGUUUUAAUAAAUGGAAUUUGCCAAAUAAACUGACCAUCUAAUCAAUAUAGUGGUAGAAUAUUUGCCUGCCAUGUGCUAGAUCUGGAUCUAAUUAAAGACCAGGGAAUAUAAAUCUUGAGUUUUACCUGAAGACAUAGCCACAGGAUAUAGCAGUGAACUGACACCCACAGCUUCUCUUUUACUGAGUUAUGACUGGAUUCAUUUAAGAAAAUGCACUGACAUGAAAAACCCAAACUAUUUCAAACAGCAUUUUGCAAAUGUAUUUAUUCCCAUUCUUUAUGC